RNAcentral lists this ribosomal RNA (253 nucleotides) under uncultured bacterium. Its description in RNAcentral is "partial 16S ribosomal RNA". It matches the Rfam family "Bacterial small subunit ribosomal RNA", at positions 524 to 776 of the family's 1533-position model. The record is from RNAcentral.
UACGAAGGGGGCUAGCGUUGUUCGGAAUUACUGGGCGUAACGGGCGCGUAGGUGGUUGAUUAAGUUGGAUGUGAAAUCCCUGGGCUUAACCUAGGAACUGCAUUCAAUACUGGUCAACUUGAGUAUGGGAGAGGGUAGUGGAAUUCCCGGUGUAGCGGUGAAAUGCGUAGAUAUCGGAAGGAACAUCAGUGGCGAAGGCGACUGCCUGGCCCAAUACUGACACUGAGGCGCGAAAGCGUGGGUAGCGAACAGG